CCGCUCACCAUACAUUCUUGACCGGUUCAACCGAACCGGAUGGUUUAAGCAAACCUGUUGCAUCACGUCCCCCCACCGUCGGACCCUUGCGCCGAGCAGUGCUGUUCUUCAUUGCUGCUCGCCGCCAGCAUCCGUCAUCGCCGGCAGUCCUCGGUUAAGUUAUCUACUCUUGUUCAAAAAAGUUUUGAAGAGCAUGUACUAAUGUUCUUAAAAGAUCACAAGGUGCUGAAGUUGGAAGAUUGGGGAGAUCUGCAGAUUUUUGUGGAGGUGGCGGACAGGAACACAGAGCUUGUUGACCGAGGCACCCAAUUCGUGCAGUUCUACACCUCAGUUUCAAUUAGGAACGGGUUUCAUCCUAGAGGCUGUUUGGGCCUCCCAUUGUUCAAUCUUCAGGUGCUUGUAUGACCAGUGAAUCAACAAUUAAGGCCGAAUUACUUUUACUCCCUACCUUCUGGAUGUGGUCAAGACUACUGGGCCCCCUACCAUUUCAAACCCCCCUUCCCUCUCUCUCUCUCGCAUACGCAUGGAUGGUACCCCAGUUAUGGUCUCCAUGAUGACUUGCAAAUUUGGUUUGAUAGACAUUUUUAUUUGGUUUCUGACAUUUUGGAAACCGUAUAUACUGUGCUAUUGAACCUGAUGAUUAUUUUGAUCUUGGAAUUUGAAGGUGGAUUAGUAUUCCUGCAUUUGCACUAUUUUCUUUUAUAAUUGAUGAUGCAUACUUUAGGAGAGACCCGAGGAGAUGUUACGCACUGAGUUAUCAGACCUUGCAGGUAAGCUAUAGCACCUCAUUUUAUUUCAAACACUUCUUUCGCAUGACACUUCAAAAUUCAUCUCAAGCUGCCACUGGAUUUUGUGUUUCUAUUCCCUUUGAGGAACAGAGAACUAGGAGUCUAUGGAAUACAAAAAAAAAAAAAAUCCAUUUGGAAUACAAGUUUCUCUCAGUGGAUUUCUGUAUAUAUUUGGUGGGGGAGGGGGUUGGAUUCAGAUGAGUAUUCAGGGGAAUCUGAACUUUUGAUUUCUCAACCCAUAUCACCCAUACAAUUGAUGGUUGCCCUUUGAGCAAGUUUGUAUAGUUUCCUUAUGUAAGUCAGUCCAAGGUUGAAAUCCAGAAAUGUGAAUGGAAAGUGUUCCGACAUAGACUUCCAACAUAGAAUUGUUAGUCUAGACUUUAGUCGCCUGUGUACUUUGACCAGCCAAACAUUGUUUUGUGGGGUGUGAAUGCAUAAACUACUUUGGUAUCUAUGCACCCCAUACACAUACAUAUAUAUUAUAAGAUAGCAGAAACUGAUUCACCACAGCUACCUUGUGUUUUUCAUUCUCAUAUAUGCAUAACUAGUAACAUUUUCAUGCCACAUCUGAUGCUUGCAUAACUGGUGCAUAGAGUAUGGAAGAACAUUUGGUUGGUUACAUGGUUUUGGCUAUCCGGUUUUGGGCUUUUCCUCCCCUUUUUCCUUGUUUCUUUCGAUUGCCCCUUCCCCCUUACUUCCAAUGUGAUUUGCUAACUGGGCUUGUAGUUGAUGAAGUGAAAUUCAGGCCAAGAAAUCUAUGUCCCUAAACAUUGGAGUUCUUACAGAAGAGCCAUUGGGGAACCAUAUCCAAGGGGGGAUGCUGAGAUGAAGGGAAGCAUAAACACUAUAUGAUGGCACUGAAUUUGCUCAUCAUCGAGGUUUGUAAUUGUUGCUAUUUGAGCUUGCAGAUACCCAUCUUUCUUCAAGUGCUUGCAUGAAUGGACAACUGGUAGCUUACACCUAUUCUUAGAGCAGAUCAGUAAUAUCAACAUUGUGAUUCAUGAGAGCCAUCAAAACUUAAUUGGCAUAGAUUCAUGCAGCCCACCAAUUGGUUUUGGUUUGAUUAUAUCCCUAGUGGUUGUUUUCUAUUUUA
Long non-coding RNA from Diospyros lotus (date-plum), 1881 nucleotides. RefSeq lists it as uncharacterized. Lineage: Eukaryota; Viridiplantae; Streptophyta; Magnoliopsida; Ericales; Ebenaceae. The transcript has 3 exons. The record is from RefSeq and is a predicted model, not a curated record.